AACGCGAAGAACCUUACCUUGGCUUGACAUAUACGAGAACGGGCCAGAAAUGGUCAACUCUUUGGACACUCGUAUACAGGUGGUGCAUGGUUGUCGUCAGCUCGUGUCGUGAGAUGUUGGGUUAAGUCCCGCAACGAGCGCAACCCUUGUCUUAUGUUGCCAGCACGUAAUGGUGGGGACUCGUAAGAGACUGCCGGGGUCAACUCGGAGGAAGGUGGGGACGACGUCAAGUCAUCAUGCCCCUUAUGUCCAGGGCUUCACGCAUGCUACAAUGGCCGGUACAAAGGGCUGCGAACCUGCAAGGGUAAGCGAAUCCCAAAAAGCCGGUCUCAGUUCGGAUUGGGGUCUGCAACUCGACCCCAUGAAGUCGGAGUCGCUAGUAAUCGCAGAUCAGCAACGCUGCGGUGAAUACGUUCCCGGGCCUUGUACACACCG
RNAcentral lists this ribosomal RNA (435 nucleotides) under uncultured Actinomycetes bacterium. Its description in RNAcentral is "bacterial SSU rRNA". It matches the Rfam family "Bacterial small subunit ribosomal RNA", at positions 958 to 1392 of the family's 1533-position model. Lineage: Bacteria; Bacillati; Actinomycetota; Actinomycetes. The record is from RNAcentral.